UUUAUCAUUCACACAAUUCAAUCAAAUUUCAUAGGUUUAACAACACCAUUUUCAUCAUUCCCUCAAUUCAAUCAAAUUUCAUGGGUUUAACCUAAACAUUUUUAGCAUUCACACAAUUCAUUCAAAUUUCAUGGGUUUAACAACGGCAAUUUCAUCAUUCCCAUAAUUCAAUCCAUUUUCGUGGGUUUAAAAGCAACAUUUUCAUCAUUCAUACAAUUCAAUCAAAUUUCAUUGGUUUAAUAACAACAUUUUCAUCAUUCACACAAUUCAGUCGAAUUUCAUGGGUUUAAUAAAACAUUUUCAUCAUUCACACAAUUCAAUAAAAUUUCAUGGGUUUAACCUAAACAUUUUCAUCAUACACACAAUUCAAUCAAAUUUCAUGGGUUUAACAACAACAUUUUUAUCAUUUACACAAUUCAAUCAAAUUUCAUGGGUUUAACAACAAUAUUUUCAUCAUUCACACAAUUCAAUCAACUUUCAUGGGUAUAAAAAUAACAUUUUCAUCAUUCACACAAUUUAAUCAGAUUUCAUAGGUUUAACAACACCAUUUUCAUCAUUCACAAAAUUCAAUCAACUUUCAUGGGUUUAACCUAAACAUUU
RNAcentral lists this long non-coding RNA (600 nucleotides) under Lathyrus oleraceus (garden pea). RNAcentral's name for it is "Pisum sativum (pea) long non-coding RNA (PSAT_LNC020199)". Lineage: Eukaryota; Viridiplantae; Streptophyta; Magnoliopsida; Fabales; Fabaceae. The record is from RNAcentral.